CCAGCACUUCAGCCUCCUCUACAAGACCGUCCAGAGGCUGCUCGUGAAGGCCAAGACACAGUGACACAGCCACCCCCACAGCCGGAGCCCCCGCCGCUCCCCAGUCCUUGGGGCCGAGCACGAGUUGGCAGGGGACCCUCCUCUCCCCUGUCUGCCCUGCGGGUUGCCCGCCUCCUCCAGAGACUUGCUCAAGGGCCCAUCACCGCUGGCCUCUGGGCACUUGUGCUGAGACUCUGGGACCCAGGCAGCUGCCACCUUAUCACCGUGAGAGAAUUCGGGGAGUGCUUGCGUGCGUGCCAGCAGGCUCCUGUCUGGGUGCCACCGGGCCAGCAUUUCGGAGGGAGCUUCCUUCCUUCUUUCCUGGACAGGUCGUCAGGAUGGAUGCACUGACUGACCGUCUGGGGCUCAGGCUGGUGUGGGAUGCAGCCGGCCGAUGAGAAAAUAAAGCCAUAUUGAAUGAUC
RNAcentral lists this small RNA (462 nucleotides) under Pongo abelii (Sumatran orangutan). Its description in RNAcentral is "processed transcript". The record is from RNAcentral. Lineage: Eukaryota; Metazoa; Chordata; Mammalia; Primates; Hominidae.